GAGUGUAGUUCUGAGCAGAGC
RNAcentral lists this microRNA (21 nucleotides) under Homo sapiens (human). RNAcentral's name for it is "hsa-miR-4280". The record is from miRBase by way of RNAcentral. Lineage: Eukaryota; Metazoa; Chordata; Mammalia; Primates; Hominidae.